RNAcentral lists this ribosomal RNA (253 nucleotides) under uncultured bacterium. RNAcentral describes it as "partial 16S ribosomal RNA". It matches the Rfam family "Bacterial small subunit ribosomal RNA", at positions 524 to 776 of the family's 1533-position model. The record is from RNAcentral.
UACGGGGGGGGCAAGCGUUGUUCGGAAUUACUGGGCGUAAAGGGCGCGUAGGCGGCCUGCUAAGUCGGAUGUGAAAUCCCUCGGCUCAACCGAGGAACUGCAUCCGAUACUGGCGGGCUUGAAUCCGGGAGAGGGAUGUGGAAUUCCUGGUGUAGCGGUGAAAUGCGCAGAUAUCAGGAGGAACACCGGUGGCGAAGGCGGGUCUCUGGGCAACAACUGACGCUGAGGAGCGAAAGCGUGGGGAGCGAACAGG